UACGUAGGUGGUAAGCGUUGUCCGGAUUUAUUGGGUUUAAAGGGUGUGUAGGCGGUUUUCUAAGUCAGCAGUGAAAUACGGCAGCUCAACUGUCGAGGUGCUGUUGAUACUGGGGAACUUGAGUACUGAUGAGGUAGGCGGAAUGGACGGUGUAGCGGUGAAAUGCUUAGAGAUCGUCCAGAACACCGAUAGCGAAGGCAGCUUACUAAGGAGUAACUGACGCUGAGGCACGAAAGUGUGGGGAUCAAACAGG
Molecule: ribosomal RNA, 253 nt
Filed under: uncultured prokaryote
Description: partial 16S ribosomal RNA
Rfam family: Bacterial small subunit ribosomal RNA
Source: RNAcentral